RNAcentral lists this long non-coding RNA (2604 nucleotides) under Homo sapiens (human). RNAcentral describes it as "HSALNT0253711". Lineage: Eukaryota; Metazoa; Chordata; Mammalia; Primates; Hominidae. The record is from RNAcentral.
GUGGAUGGAAGUUCAACUCACCGAGCCGGGGUAUUAGGAUAAAGACUAAGCUUCUAGAACAAAGAGGCCCCCAAGCGGAGAAGCUCCCAGAGGCUAGCGGUUCACGCCAUCCGCAAGCAACAGGCGAGACUGCAGGUGGGCCGGGCCCGCUCUCCACCUUGUGGUUUUGGUCCCAGGUCCUGUCCUCGUCUUCGUGGUUGAAGCUGUUGCAGAUGCCUCCUUUCCACCCUGGGGAGGGGGUGAAAAUCCGGGGCCCUGGACGCCGUUUGCUCCAAGGAGGGAGAAUUUUCACGUGGCCUUUUCAUGCCCCUCACUGGUGGAAACUGAUCCCCACAGCUGCACCUGAGCCACAGCGCGGGGCUUUGCUCCUGGCUCGAUGCUCAUGUUCUGAGGAAGGACAGGAACCCACAGGGACACGGGCGUCGGCCCAGGAAAUCCGGGAGGAGGAGCAGGUUUCCUGGAAUUGGAAGCAGCCGGUGAGGAAGAUGCUGGAGACGCCCUGAGACGGCGGCUGAGACACCGAGCUGAGGCCGAGGGCACCGGCUCGGACCGCCUGGGCCAUCCCCACAGGGUUAGCAAAGACGCAAGAGGGCGUGAAGCCACGCGGUCGCACACCUGGUACCGCGCACAGUGAGAAAGGAGGGCAAGUGCGCUGAGACCCAGGAGGGAGGGCAGCCCUCCCCUGCGCUGCUGAGGCUCGUUUCUUUCAAUGUGUCCCUGGCUCUGUGCUGUAUCGUGCGUUUCAGUGUGCAUGAAAUAUCUUGUGCAAUCAUUUACGUGAAAUUAGAGCUAGUAGGAAAAUGUAUCGUCAGGCGUGGAAGAGCGCACUGCACCUUCUUUUUACUUGCGCGCACCUGAGGAUUGUCUAAAAUCCAGGCCUCACGGGACUCCCAGAGCCCGUGCUCGUCACAGCUGCUGGCUACAGAAACACAGCCUGCAAAGUCGGCCUCACCGCCAGCCAGACGAGCCCAGCCAGUUUCCACGAGCAGGGGAGGGCACACCCGGAGGCCACCGUGGAAAGCAGCCUGGCUGCCCUCGGGAAGCCACACGCGGAGCCGCCGCGGCCCAGCACUCCCACCCCUCGAUGUGUGCCCAGGUCGAAGGAAGGCUUGCCACCCGAAGGCCUGCACGGGAAAGCUCACAGCAGCGUUCUCCAAACAGCCAAAACGCGGAAGCAACCCCGAUGUGCGUGGGCUGGUGAAUGCAGGCCCAGCGCGGAGUGCGCACAGCCCGGAACGGCAUUCAGCCAAGAAAAGACCCACAGCCGGGAACAGCAUAUUCAGCCAAGAAAAGAAAGGGCGGCCUGGGGCGCUCUGCACCGCGGGUGAGCCGUGAGAACACGGCGCUCCGGGAGAGAAGCCAGCACGAGACGCUGCCUCGGGCGCGACUCCAUUUACUUGAAGUCCAGAGCCCGUAAAUCCGCGAGACAGACAUGGAGGAGCGGCUUACCAGAGGCCUGGGGUGACUCAAAUCCGCCGCUGCUGUGUGAUCUGGGACACUUCAGGAUGUGGGCACCGUGGGGAACCAGCUUGGUGCCCAUCUUGGAGGUGUCAUUCUGAGAACCUGGAAGCAGCUCUUGCCCAAGUCACACUCAAGAGCCACGGCUUUGUUAGGCAUUGCCACAUUUUCCAGUGAGUUCCAUGCUCAGAUUGUUCCUGCUUUGUACAGCCCGGGAUAAGCCUGUCAUGAUUACCAGAAAGCAGAGAUGUGGGCCACGGAAGCAUGGGUGAAUGCCGAUGAUGAAUACAGCUGGAGAGAGUGGGACGUGGUCUGUCCACCCCUCAUUAGGUGAGCAAGCGCAGAAAACGCAUUUUCAUCCCCCAGGCUUCUGUAUACUCUCGUGUGGAAUAAAAACUCUAUUGCUCCGGUCUGCAUGUUGCUGACGCCCCAGAAUCCCGAUGUGACAGCCUCGUACCUGAAGUGACAGUGUUCAGGGUGGGGGCUUUGAGGAGUGAUUAAAUCAUGAGGGCUGCACCAACGUGAAUGGGAUUUGUGCCCUUAUAAAACAGGCUGGAGCAUGUUCCUGUGCCCCCUUUGGCCACGUGAGGACACCUUGAAAGGCCACUCACGAGGAACAGUCCAGGCACUGAAUCCACUGGCGCCUCCAGAACUGUGAGCAGUAACAUUCCAUUGUUUAUAAAUUACUCAGUCUCCAGUACUUGGUUCCUGCAGCUAGAACAGGCUAAGGCCUCUGUCCGUGUUCCAGGGAAGCCUCCACAGGGCAGUCACUGCUGAGGAUACUCCGAGCAAAAGGUUCCGUGAUCCAGCACGGUGAUGCGCGCCCACUGUGCGACUUCCAGAGAUCACCGUGGCAUUCGUAAACCAGGAACCUCGUGGAUCUUUAGCCGUAUUAAACGUUUCCUAAACCUACAUGUGUAUUGGCCAUCCAUAAAUCUUUGGAGGAACGUCUAUGUAAAUCCUUUGCCCAUGUGUAAAGUUGGGUUAUUUGGUUUUUAUUACUGAGUUGUGAGAGUCCUUUUGUAAUAUUUUUCUUACUGAGUUGUGAGAGUCCUUUACAUAUUCUGAAUUUAGGUGCCUAUGAUUUGCAAAUACUCUUUCCAUUCUUUGAGUUGUCUUUUCACUCUCUUGAUGGUAUUGUUUCAG